ACAUCCUGUGCUACAUCCAGAGAUGGAUGGUUCCCUUCGGGGACGCAGUGACAGGUGCUGCAUGGCUGUCGUCAGCUCGUGUCGUGAGAUGUUCGGUUAAGUCCGGCAACGAGCGCAACCCACAUCCCUAGUUGCCAGCAGUUCGGCUGGGCACUCUAUGGAAACUGCCCGUGAUAAGCGGGAGGAAGGUGUGGAUGACGUCAAGUCCUCAUGGCCCUUACGGGUUGGGCUACACACGUGCUACAAUGGUAGUGACAAUGGGUUAAUCCCAAAAAGCUAUCUCAGUUCGGAUUGUCGUCUGCAACUCGACGGCAUGAAGUCGGAAUCGCUAGUAAUCGCGUAACAGCAUGACGCGGUGAGUACGUUCCCGGGCCUUGUACACACCACCCGUCACACCAUGGGAGUUGGUUCUACCCGACGGCCGUGCGCUAACCUUUUGGAGGCAGCGGACCACGGUAGGAUCAGCGACUGGGGUGAAGUCGUAACAAGGUAACCUA
This 497-nucleotide ribosomal RNA is filed under the name uncultured bacterium. RNAcentral describes it as "bacterial SSU rRNA". It matches the Rfam family "Bacterial small subunit ribosomal RNA", at positions 984 to 1503 of the family's 1533-position model. The record is from RNAcentral.